UAAUGCAUUCAAAUUUUAUAAAUCAUACCUAAUCCAUACUAAAUUCAUGGUUCUUACAUAAUCAAUACAAUAUAAGUAAAAGAAAAGCAUAAAAACAUCCAAAUUUCAUAUGCAUUCCUCAUAACCGAUAAUAAUCUUAACAGUAAUAAUAUAUCUUAGGCUUAUUCUUAACCUUCAAAACCGUGGCUUCCCAUAGUAGGAAAUGGUCAAGUUGUCUUGCUCUUUCUCAAGUCCAAUCAUCUCUCUACUUCUUCAUUCUCGCGUUCCUUUCUCUUGAGCCUUGGUUUUGUGAACUUUGAGAGACAAGUGAGAUUAUGAGAAAUUAUGAGUGAGAGUUGGAAAAAUUAGUGAUAGGGGAAAGAAAUGCCUUUGCUUUGAGGGACUUUGAUGACUAAAUGAGAUAAAAGAGAGAAAGACGUAUUUGUUUAGACGAAAAGCUAAUCGAGGUAAUGACACCUCUCUCUUUUCAUAUAUUUUUCCAUAAAAAUGAAGUGAUGUUUUUGUUUAUAAUUGUUUCGUAUCUGCUUACGUGUUUAAGAAUACGUAGCUGCCAAAAUGAGUAA
RNAcentral lists this long non-coding RNA (563 nucleotides) under Medicago truncatula (barrel medic). RNAcentral describes it as "lncRNA gene2208". Lineage: Eukaryota; Viridiplantae; Streptophyta; Magnoliopsida; Fabales; Fabaceae. The record is from RNAcentral.